RNAcentral lists this ribosomal RNA (287 nucleotides) under unidentified marine bacterioplankton. RNAcentral's name for it is "partial 16S ribosomal RNA". It matches the Rfam family "Bacterial small subunit ribosomal RNA", at positions 53 to 339 of the family's 1533-position model. The record is from RNAcentral.
ACAUGCAAGUCGAACGGAAAUAAAGGAGCUUGCUCCUUUAAAUUAGUGGCGAACGGGUGAGUAACACGUGGGCAACCUGCCCCUGACUCUGGGAUAACUACUCGAAAGAGUAGCUAAUACCGGAUAUGAAACCUGAGGACAUCUUCGGGUUUGGAAAGUUUUUCGGUCAGGGAUGGGCCCGCGGCCUAUCAGCUAGUUGGUGAGGUAGUGGCUCACCAAGGCGACGACGGGUAGCCGGCCUGAGAGGGCGACCGGCCACACUGGGACUGAGACACGGCCCAGACUCC